Molecule: non-coding RNA, 428 nt
Organism: Megalobrama amblycephala (Wuchang bream)
Lineage: Eukaryota; Metazoa; Chordata; Actinopteri; Cypriniformes; Xenocyprididae
Source: the annotation of a RefSeq genome assembly
CUUGGUGAAAGAAACCAUGAUGAACACGUUUGACAGCAUAUGUGUAUAUCUAAUGAUGUUUACAGCUGCAUGUCUGGGUAAAACUGUUGUCCAGACGCCUGCUAACCUCAUCAAGAAUCAAGAUGAAUCUGCUGUGAUCAUAUGUGCUCACAAUGUACAGAGCUCUGAACGAAUAUUGUGGUACAAACAAAGUCAGGACUUGUCGGGCUUCAAGUUGAUGGGAUACCUUUAUUACAAAGCUAAUACUAGCGAGCCUGAAUUUUUAAACAAGAUCAUAUUGGAGGGAGAUGCAGAGAAAAAUGGCACUCUGACUAUCAAGAACCUCAUGCUGAAUGACAGUGCAGUGUAUUUCUGUGCAGCAUAUGACACAGUGCUCAGAAUCACAUCUGUCUAAUACAAAAACUUGUGAAAAGCAAAUUUAUGUUUCU